AUCCCCAAUGCCACAACCUUCUACUUCACUGGAAAUCUUCUUCUUCUGCAAGAAUCUUCUCCUUCCUCUUCAAAAUCGCCGAUUCCCCUAUCUUCCUCUCUCUAAAAACUCUGAUACCCCUAUCCCUCUCUCCGAUGCCCUGAAAAACCCUCAGUCCUCUUUUAGUUUAGAGUUUUCUGAGUUUUAGUUUGAUUAAGUGCAGAAUGAAUCUGAGAAACUAAGAUUUUGUGCAAAGGGUUUGUAUCCUUUGAAGGGCUUAGGUCAACUUGUUGUGCAAAGGUUACAAACGAAGAUUGGAGAAACAAUUUGAAGACCCAAAUACUAAAUGGUUAGCUAGAAGACAAGCACAUUUACUAUGCGCUCAACAAGGGAUUCCUAUCUCCGAAUUUGGGGUCCAGGUUUUGAGGAGCAGCAGCAGCAGUAGUUCGGAAGCA
Nicotiana attenuata is the source of this 434-nucleotide long non-coding RNA. RefSeq lists it as uncharacterized. The transcript has 3 exons. The record is from RefSeq and is a predicted model, not a curated record. NCBI's taxonomy places the organism in Eukaryota, Viridiplantae, Streptophyta, Magnoliopsida, Solanales, Solanaceae.